Long non-coding RNA from Equus caballus (horse), 299 nucleotides. RefSeq lists it as uncharacterized. NCBI's taxonomy places the organism in Eukaryota, Metazoa, Chordata, Mammalia, Perissodactyla, Equidae. The record is from RefSeq and is a predicted model, not a curated record.
GCCAAGCGGUGCCAUGUCCGCACCCGGGAUCCGAACUGGCGAACCCUCGGCCACUGAGAAGUGAAACAUGCGAACUUAACCACUGCACCACCAGGCUGGGCCCUCGAGAGACCUUUGAAUUCUUUCCCAGCUCAAGACCUAGAGUUUGAAGUUCAAGGCCUCAAGGAAUGGUAAUAUGUGCAAAUUCAAGUUAGAGGUCUUCGCCUCAGAGCCUGGAAAGCAGCUGUUUCUAAACAACUCAAUUACAUGUGCUCAAAAUCUGGAAACCUACCACAGAGCUGGGAACUCCGGAGAGGCUC